Molecule: ribosomal RNA, 380 nt
Filed under: uncultured bacterium
Lineage: Bacteria
Description: bacterial SSU rRNA
Rfam family: Bacterial small subunit ribosomal RNA
Source: RNAcentral
GAUUAACGCUGGCGGCGUGCCUAACACAUGCAAGUCGAACGAGGUAGCAAUACCUAGUGGCAGACGGGUGAGUAACGCGUGGUCAACCUACCGUUGAGUGGGGGAUAACUAGCCGAAAGGUUAGCUAAUACCGCAUACGUCUCCGAGGGGCAUCCCUUGGCGAUAAAAGGAGCAAUCCGCUCGAUGACGGGACCGCGUCCCAUUAGCUAGAUGGUGGGGUAACGGCCUACCAUGGCACCGANGGGUAGCUGGUUUUGAGAGAGCGACCAGCCACACUGGGACUGAGAAACGGCCCAGACUCCUACGGGAGGCAGCAGUGAGGAAUUUUUCCGCAAUGGGCGCAAGCCUGACGGAGCGACGCCGCGUGUGGGAAGAAGGCC